This 467-nucleotide ribosomal RNA is filed under the name uncultured bacterium. RNAcentral's name for it is "bacterial SSU rRNA". It matches the Rfam family "Bacterial small subunit ribosomal RNA", at positions 328 to 793 of the family's 1533-position model. The record is from RNAcentral.
GGUCCAGACUCCUACGGGAGGCAGCAGUGAGGAAUAUUGGUCAAUGGGCGCGAGCCUGAACCAGCCAAGUCGCGUGAGGGAAGACGGUCCUAUGGAUUGUAAACCUCUUUUGUCGGGGAGCAAAAGACGCCACGUGUGGCGUUCCGAGAGUACCCGGAGAAAAAGCAUCGGCUAACUCCGUGCCAGCAGCCGCGGUAAUACGGAGGAUGCGAGCGUUAUCCGGAUUUAUUGGGUUUAAAGGGUGCGUAGGCGGAUCGUUAAGUCAGUGGUCAAAUUGAGGGGCUCAACCCCUUCCUGCCAUUGAAACUGGCGUUCUUGAGUGGAAGAGAAGUAUGCGGAAUGCGUGGUGUAGCGGUGAAAUGCGUAGAUAUCACGCAGAACCCCGAUUGCGAAGGCAGCAUGCCGGCUUCCGACUGACGCUGAAGCACGAAAGUGUGGGGAUCGAACAGGAUUAGAUACCCCUGUAC